AUUGAACGCUGGCGGCAUGCCUUACACAUGCAAGUCGAACGGCAGCACGGGUGCUUGCACCUGGUGGCGAGUGGCGAACGGGUGAGUAAUACAUCGGAACAUGUCCUGUAGUGGGGGAUAGCCCGGCGAAAGCCGGAUUAAUACCGCAUACGAUCUACGGAUGAAAGCGGGGGACCGUCGGGCCUCGCGCUAUAGGGGUGGCCGAUGGCUGAUUAGCUAGUUGGUGGGGUAAAGGCCUACCAAGGCGACGAUCAGUAGCUGGUCUGAGAGGACGACCAGCCACACUGGGACUGAGACACGGCCCAGACUCCUACGGGAGGCAGCAGUGGGGAAUUUUGGACAAUGGGCGAAAGCCUGAUCCAGCAAUGCCGCGUGUGUGAAGAAGGCCUUCGGGUUGUAAAGCACUUUUGUCCGGAAAGAAAUCCUUGGCCCUAAUACGGUCGGGGGAUGACGGUACCGGAAGAAUAAGCACCGGCUAACUACGUG
RNAcentral lists this ribosomal RNA (486 nucleotides) under uncultured bacterium. Its description in RNAcentral is "partial 16S ribosomal RNA". It matches the Rfam family "Bacterial small subunit ribosomal RNA", at positions 29 to 507 of the family's 1533-position model. The record is from RNAcentral.